Molecule: ribosomal RNA, 492 nt
Filed under: uncultured bacterium
Lineage: Bacteria
Description: partial 16S ribosomal RNA
Rfam family: Bacterial small subunit ribosomal RNA
Source: RNAcentral
AGUGAACGCUGGCGGUAGGCCUAACACAUGCGAGUCGAACGGCAGCACAGUAAGAGCUUGCUCUUACGGGUGGCGAGUGGCGGACGGGUGAGGAAUACAUCGGAAUCUACUUUUUCGUGGGGGAUAACGUAGGGAAACUUACGCUAAUACCGCAUACGACCUACGGGUGAAAGCAGGGGAUCUUCGGACCUUGCGCGAUUGAAUGAGCCGAUGUCGGAUUAGCUAGUUGGCGGGGUAAAGGCCCACCAAGGCGACGAUCCGUAGCUGGUCUGAGAGGAUGAUCAGCCACACUGGAACUGAGACACGGCCCAGACUCCGACGGGAAGCAGCAGUGGGGAAUAUUAGACGAUGGGGGCGAGCCUGAUCCAGCCAUACCGCGUGGGUGAAGAAGGCCUUCGGGUUGUAAAGCCCUUUUGUUGGGAAAGAAAAGCAGCAGGUUAAUACCCCGCUAUUCUGACGGUACCCAAAGAAUAAGCACCGGCUAACUUCGUG